UACGUAGGGGGCUAGCGUUGUCCGGAAUCAUUGGGCGUAAAGCGCGUGUAGGCGGUUCGGUAAGUCCGCUGUGAAAGUCGGGGGCUCAACCCUCGGAAGCCGGUGGAUACUGUCGGGCUAGAGUACGGAAGAGGCGAGUGGAAUUCCUGGUGUAGCGGUGAAAUGCGCAGAUAUCAGGAGGAACACCAAUUGCGAAGGCAGCUCGCUGGGACGUUACUGACGCUGAGACGCGAAAGCGUGGGGAGCAAACAGG
RNAcentral lists this ribosomal RNA (253 nucleotides) under uncultured bacterium. RNAcentral's name for it is "partial 16S ribosomal RNA". It matches the Rfam family "Bacterial small subunit ribosomal RNA", at positions 524 to 776 of the family's 1533-position model. The record is from RNAcentral.